RNAcentral lists this ribosomal RNA (254 nucleotides) under uncultured bacterium. Its description in RNAcentral is "partial 16S ribosomal RNA". It matches the Rfam family "Bacterial small subunit ribosomal RNA", at positions 79 to 334 of the family's 1533-position model. The record is from RNAcentral.
CUAAGGCUGAUGGCGACCGGCGCACGGGUGAGUAACACGUAUCCAACCUGCCGAUAACUCGGGGAUAGCCUUUCGAAGGAAAGAUUAAUACCCGAUGGUAUAAUAAAACCGCAUGGUUUAAUUAUUAAAGAAUUUCGGUUAUCGAUGGGGAUGCGUUCCAUUAGGCAGUUGGUGAGGUAACGGCUCACCAAACCUUCGAUGGAUAGGGGUUCUGAGAGGAAGGUCCCCCACAUUGGAACUGAGACACGGUCCAA